ACUCAAAUGAAUAGACGGGGGCCCGCACAAGCGGUGGAGCAUGUGGAUUAAUUCGAUGCAACGCGAAGAACCUUACCUGGGCUUGACAUGGAAAUGACCCAUUCAGAGAUGAAUGUUCCCUUCGGGGCAUUUCACACAGAUGGUGCAUGGUUGUCGUCAGCUCGUGUCGUGAGAUGUUGGGUUAAGUCCCGCAACGAGCGCAACCCUUAUCUUCAGUUACCAGCAUUUGGUUGGGUACUCUGGAGAGACUGCCGUGGAUAACACGGAGGAAGGUGGGGAUGAUGUCAAAUCAUCAUGCCUCUUACGUCCAGGGCUUCACACGUGCUACAAUGGUCUUUACAAAGUGAAGCAAGACUGCAAAGUGGAGCGAACCACAAAAAAAGACCCCAGUUCGGAUUGUAGGCUGCAACUCGCCUGCAUGAAGUUGGAAUCGCUAGUAAUCGCGAAUCAGCAUGUCGCGGUGAAUACGUUCCCGGGCCUUGCACACACCGCCCGU
RNAcentral lists this ribosomal RNA (496 nucleotides) under uncultured bacterium. RNAcentral describes it as "bacterial SSU rRNA". It matches the Rfam family "Bacterial small subunit ribosomal RNA", at positions 899 to 1397 of the family's 1533-position model. The record is from RNAcentral.